UUGGUGACAGCGGAGGGACAUUACUGAGUGUUACAACUCCCAAACCCUUUGUGAACACUACCAUUCGUUGCUUCGGCGGGACCGCCCCGGCGCCUCUGCGCGCCGGAACCAGGCGCCCGCCGGGGGCCCGAAACUCUUGUUUUGUCAGUGGUAUUUUCUCUGAGUGGCAUAAGCAAAUAAAUUAAAACUUUCAACAACGGAUCUCUUGGUUCUGGCAUCGAUGAAGAACGCAGCGAAAUGCGAUAAGUAAUGUGAAUUGCAGAAUUCAGUGAAUCAUCGAAUCUUUGAACGCACAUUGCGCCCGCCAGUACUCUGGCGGGCAUGCCUGUUCGAGCGUCAUUUCAACCCUCGGGCCCCGCAUUCGUGCGGCCCCGGCGUUGGGGACCGGCCUCCGCAUCGGACGGCCGCCCCCGAAACCCAGUGGCGGUCCCGCCGCGGCCUUCUCUGCGUAGUAGCAUACACCUCGCACUGGAGAGCGGCGCGGCCACGCCGUAAAAGAAACGAACUUUCUGAAGGUUGACCUCGGAUCAGGUAGGAAUACCCGCUGAACUUAAG
Molecule: ribosomal RNA, 555 nt
Filed under: Sordariomycetes sp.
Lineage: Eukaryota; Fungi; Ascomycota; Sordariomycetes
Description: eukaryotic LSU rRNA
Rfam family: 5.8S ribosomal RNA (bases 186-339)
Source: RNAcentral